Neltuma alba is the source of this 204-nucleotide long non-coding RNA. RefSeq lists it as uncharacterized. The transcript has 3 exons. The record is from RefSeq and is a predicted model, not a curated record. Lineage: Eukaryota; Viridiplantae; Streptophyta; Magnoliopsida; Fabales; Fabaceae.
AGUACUCACAAAUUGGGAGAUUAUAUCAUUCAUCUGUUUUGUAUGACAGGGACACUUUCAGCAAGCUCAGCAAGGAAGAAGCCAAUAAGGUUCAGGAACUGAAGCAGUUGAAGGGAGAAGAGCUUGAAGGAUUGAACAUAAAUGAAUUACAGAAGCUUGAAGAGCAAUUAGAUAAAGGUUUGAAACGUGUAGUCAGAGCAAAGG